RNAcentral lists this ribosomal RNA (270 nucleotides) under uncultured bacterium. Its description in RNAcentral is "partial 16S ribosomal RNA". It matches the Rfam family "Bacterial small subunit ribosomal RNA", at positions 28 to 322 of the family's 1533-position model. The record is from RNAcentral.
GAUGAACGCUGGCGGCGUGCCUAAUACAUGCAAGUCGAGCGGUAACACUUCGGGUGACGAGCGGCGGACGGCUGAGUAACGCGUAGGAACGUACCCCAAAGUGAGGGAUAAGCACCGGAAACGGUGUCUAAUACCGCAUGUGGUCUUCGGAUUAAAGCUUCGGCGCUUUGGGAACGGCCUGCGUAUGAUUAGCUUGUUGGUGAGGUAAAAGCUCACCAAGGCGACGAUCAUUAGCUGGUCUGAGAGGAUGAUCAGCCAGACUGGGACUGA